This 212-nucleotide unclassified non-coding RNA is filed under the name Hevea brasiliensis (rubber tree). The record is from RNAcentral. Lineage: Eukaryota; Viridiplantae; Streptophyta; Magnoliopsida; Malpighiales; Euphorbiaceae.
GGCAGACCGUAAGAAGCAAAAAACAGAAAGAAACGUGUUUCAAUGCUUCGUCUUUGGUCCUAAAAAGGCUGGAAAGUCUGCUCUUUUGAAUACCUUAAUCCGAAGGCCUUAUUCAAAAAACUAUAGCUCAACAACUGAAGAUGGUUACGUCAUGAAUAUGCUUGAAAGCGUUCAGGGAGGUCAGAAGACACUUAUAUUGAGAGAGAUAUCUG